GAUGAACGCUGGCGGCGUGCCUAAUACAUGCAAGUCGAGCGAACGGACGAGAAGCUUGCUUCUCUGAUGUUAGCGGCGGACGGGUGAGUAACACGUGGAUAACCUACCUAUAAGACUGGGAUAACUUCGGGAAGCCGUAGCUAAUACCGGAUAAUAUUUUGAACCGCAUGGUUCAAAAGUGAAAGACGGUCUUGCUGUCACUUAUAGAUGGAUCCGCGCUGCAUUAGCUAGUUGGUAAGGUAACGGCUUACCAAGGCAACGAUGCAUAGCCGACCUGAGAGGGUGAUCGGCCACACUGGAACUGAGACACGGUCCAGACUCCUACGGGAGGCAGCAGUAGGGAAUCUUCCGCAAUGGGCGAAAGCCUGACGGAGCAACGCCGCGUGAGUGAUGAAAGUCUUCGGAUCGUAAAACUCUGUUAUUAGGGAAGAACAUAUGUGUAAGUAACUGUGCACAUCUUGACGGUACCUAAUCAGAAAGCCACGGCUAACUACGUG
RNAcentral lists this ribosomal RNA (497 nucleotides) under uncultured bacterium. RNAcentral's name for it is "partial 16S ribosomal RNA". It matches the Rfam family "Bacterial small subunit ribosomal RNA", at positions 28 to 507 of the family's 1533-position model. The record is from RNAcentral.